AAAACCAACCAUCAGAAAAUAACACUUUUAAGUGCGAACAUAGCUUUCAGUUUGCUGUUUGAUUCAUCUGAUAAACGAAAAUGUCUAUACCUGCGUGGAGGCGGGGAAAAUGAAGGAAGGUCUUUUAUUCUAUUUUACACAGCCCAGUAUGUGGUUCCAGGAGAGUAUCACUGGUGAACAUUAACUGUAACGUAACUGUUAUCCACAGGAAAGCUACCAAAAAUGCACCAUCGAAUAUCUAACCUGAUUGAUUCAACUUCUCUCUCACCAUAGUUGUUCUCGGGGUAAGUGAGAACUGGCACCUUUAACUGUGGUGACUUUUCGGGUGAAAAGUCUGACCUUGACCAUCUAUCUCCCAGUGAAGAUACCAAAAACAGGAAGAGUUGAAAUGUGGCCAGUGGGAGGGGAAAUGAUUCAAGAAUCAAGCGCCCCCGGCAAUGCACAUGCUUACACAAUCUGAUGGAAAGAGCCGUAUUAUUACUUCUGACCUCGCCUGUUUAACAUGCAUUGAGUUGAAGGAUCAUUUCACUGGAUGUUCUCGGAGGACUCAACACAAAGACCGAAAGGGUGUGGUGCAGAACCCAGGAUAGGCAGGAUUCAAUCCAGCCUGAAGGUGCGGGAAGAGCUGAGGGUCCACAUCCUUGCCUCGCUCCUGUCUCGUGGGAUAAGUCCGCUGCCUCCUGCAGGGGCUGAUGGAUGAACCCCUUCAGUUGGCUGUUGGAAGCCACACCGGAAGAGGGAGAGGAGCAGAUGGAAAAGGCUUGGAGGGACAGCUGUGCCGUCUCAUCGGUCUCUUUCCAGGGAACAUACACCAUUCCAGGAUGUUCUCCAGUGAAACAGUGGUGUAAAACAAAAAAUAGGAAGUCUCCGGAUCCACGAAACAGAGGACCCAAUACACAGCGAGGGAGAAGGAAAGACCCUGAUGGGGAUGAGGCAUCCCGGGUUGAGACUCUGCAUGAGACCAAGUCCAGGCUGGAGCAGGAGGAUAGAGGAGCGUAAGAGAGAGGUCCUGGAAAAACAACAGCAGUAGCAGCUACCACAGCAACCAAAAUCAAACCAAAGAGGAAUGAGAACUACCCGAUGUCGCUGGAAAUUAAUAUUGGUAGACAUCUGGGAAUCUGUAGGAACUUUUGGAGAAAAGUGAAGGGUAUAUAGAAACUAAACAAGUGAAAGCAAGGCAAGUAUUCCCUUUGGGUAAAACAAUGGGUUGUCUAAAAAAGGAGCUGCAACCACAGGAUACUACUUGGAUUAGUCACGAUAAUAUCAGGCUGAUGACUCUCGCUUUAAGCCAGAAUUGUGCUAUCACCACAUUGAGAAAAUAGAAAAGGAAAUAAAAUGUGGGUGGUUAUAAUCUAAAUCUACAUCCUUUUUUUUUUUUUUUUUAGACAAAG
Molecule: long non-coding RNA, 1391 nt
Organism: Macaca mulatta (Rhesus monkey)
Lineage: Eukaryota; Metazoa; Chordata; Mammalia; Primates; Cercopithecidae
Source: RefSeq, a predicted model, not a curated record